This 459-nucleotide long non-coding RNA is filed under the name Mustela putorius furo (domestic ferret). RNAcentral describes it as "lncRNA (ENSMPUG00000027831.1)". The record is from RNAcentral. Lineage: Eukaryota; Metazoa; Chordata; Mammalia; Carnivora; Mustelidae.
AAGGAAGCUACAUCUCCUGCUCUUGAAAGAAAUUAGGAAAGGAAGCUACAUCUCCUGCUCUUGAAAGAAAUGGCCUAAUGAAGAGGUCCUAUGGUGUCCUGUGGGAAAGAGAGAGAGCACAAACAGGGGGAGCUGCAGACAAGGAAGAGGGAGAAGUAGACUCCUUGCAGAGCAGGGAGCCCAGUGAGGGGCUCCAUACCAGGACCCGAGGAUCAUGACCUGAGCUGAAGACAGAUGUUUAACCGACUGAGCCACCAAGGCACCCCAACAGUGUUCACUUCUAAUAAAUUCUGAUGUUUUCAAUGUACUCCUAAAAUACUAGAAUUUUAUUUUACUUCUUACUUUUAGGUCUUUAACUAUGAAUUUGCCUUUUCAUCUAAGUCAAUUCCAAAAUCAGAUAUAUAUCAUUAUGUCCAUUUGUUUAUAAAGGUUAUUAAUUAUGCUGUUCAAAUCAUUCUU